Molecule: non-coding RNA, 2257 nt
Organism: Odocoileus virginianus texanus
Lineage: Eukaryota; Metazoa; Chordata; Mammalia; Artiodactyla; Cervidae
Source: RefSeq, a predicted model, not a curated record
UGAUAUAGAGGGUCAUUGUUCAUACUAUUUGAUUUCUAAAUAGAACAUGAUCCACGAUGAUGGUGUUAUAGAUAACAUUUUAUGGAUUUUAUUUAUUAGCAUAAUUUAAAAAUAAUUUCACAAAAAUUGUAAUUUAAUAAUACACCUUGGUUGAAAUAAUUUGAAGUUUAUUUGUAACAGAAAUUUUCAAAUAUAUUGUAGGAUUUAUGGAAAUAAAAUGUUCAGUGCUCCCUCUCCUGGUUUUAUCAUACCAGUGAACUGACCUCUUUUCCCCAAAUUGUGGUAAUAGCAGAGAAGACAGUUUUGAAAAACCAAAUAAGAUACCAUCAUGGAAUAUUGUAUUUCUGAUUUGACUCUUUCAAACCCAUUCAAAUUGUCCAAGAAACUUAUCCACUGGUUAAAGUUUAUUACUUCUCCAAAUAUGAGAUAUAUGAAAAUAGAAAAUAUGUACAAUAAUGUUGACUUUAGCCUUUGAAACAGUUUAUUUUAUUACAAUUUAUAUUAUUAAGAGUGAAUAGGUAGCUUCUUGGUUUAAUUUUUGUUCUGUGUUAUUUUCUAGUGAUGCUUUCUUGUUAAUGGUUUUAGCAGUGCCCUAGUGUCCUGAAAGGCCAUUCCAAAUAGAAUUUUAAUUAUUUUAAAGAACUCAAAUAUUAGAAAAUCUCGAAUAGAGAAAAAAAAAGUUUCAAAAGAAUUACUUACUAUUGUAAAGAAGAAUAUUUAAAAAUUAUUGAAAUGUCCAUACUCAAGUUUAUAUGAUUUUUUACUGAAGUUUUGUUUGCUUUAUUUUGUCAAAGACUUUAAGCUACUUCUUAUAUGUAGGACCUGCAAAAAAUAUUUCCCUUUCCACUUACUAUAUGCUUCUGGGUUUUAGGUAUCUUUUAAGAAUCUCUGUGGAAACUCAAAUUUCACAUAUUGUUACCCUCACAGCAGCAUGAAGUACAUGAUUUUGAUAAUAAAUGUCUAAAAUCCAAUAGUCUGUAAGGAAACAAAAAGCAUUUUUCCUACUGAUUAAAAUGCUUUUUUUUUCAGUGACACAUCAUAUAUACUUAAGAAUUAUAAAACCUCUUAGGAAAUUAUUUCUAUUUUAAUUGAUCUCUAUUUAGCUGAUUUUUAAAAAUAAACUUAUUUUUUCAAAAUUAUAUAAAUAUCUUACAAAAUUGAAGAGAGUCUGGGAUUUUUACAAUUUUGAUUUUGGGGAAAUUACAUCACAAAUCAAGAUAGAGCAAUUAUUAUAAAAUCUACAGGAGGAAAUCAUACCUUUAUCACAUAUUGUUACCUACAUUUUCAGUAAAGCGCGCCACGUUUUAGAUUUCACAUAUUCUGAACUUUGCUUUAAAUUGGAUCUGUAGUGGCAUAUCAUCAUCUUUUUUAUAUCAAUAUACAUUAUCUCACUAACUGAUCAGUAGUGAGGGCUUGAUAUACAACUUUUUAAUCUUUUAGUCUUCAAAGUUGUUUUGUAAUUCCACUUUUAAGGGUAGAGUUCACCAAUCCUUUUGCUGAGAUUUGAUAACUGAAGACUGCUAACUAAAUUUCAAGGUAUUCUUUUAUGACAAAAGGCAUUUGCAGGAUUUUUUGUGGCAAUCCACAUUUUCAGAGGAUGUUUUUUAGGGGAGUGUACAGGGCAACAUAUCCAAGUGGGUACUCAUAAAGGAAAGAGGAAACGACUGUUGGGGAAAUCCUGCUCCAGGUUUUCAGGCAGCCCGUAUGAUUGACACAUGAUAUCACUGGAGGCGUGUCCUGGAGUGGAGGUGGAGGUGGAGGCGAAGAGCUGAAAUUCUGCGGAGCCGGAGUGGGACUGCUCUGUAAGGCACGCAGUGGUUUGCAGAGUGAUAGCCGCAGACACAACUCCCAGCCCUGGAAAAGGAACAGCUACAGUUGCUGUAAAUGUGCCUGAAAAGCAAUUUCCAAUCUUUGCUUUAGCAGGCGUUUCGGCCGCGGAACAGGAGGGUCGGAGGACUGGGAGUGAUAGCUGCCCGGGAGAGGCUGACUGCCAGGACCGGAGUUCCCAGGGACGCCGUGCCCCCACUUGCCCGGCGUGCGGGAUCGGGAAAGUGCCUGGACCUGCGCGGGGGCCGAGGGACGACGCCCCGCCUUCUCCCCGGAGGAGAACCCCCAAACCUCGCUCCCUUCACCACCGCCCCUAAAAAAGCGGGGGGCUACAGGAGAAGAACCCCGGAGGUGGAUGUUACUGAGCUGCGCGGCGCACGCGAGCUGUGAGAGGUCUGCGCCUGGCCGCGCCGAGUCUCCAGAGGAUUGU